AUUGAACGCUGGCGGCAGGCCUAACACAUGCAAGUCGAACGAGUGGCGGAAGGGUGAGUAAUGUCUGGGACACUGCCUGAUGGAGGGGGAUAACUACUGGAAACGGUAGCUAAUACCGCAUACCAUAGCCUGGGCCCGGAUGGGAUUAGCUGGUGGGAGGGGUAACGGACCACCAGGGCGACGAUCCGUAGCUGGUCUGAGAGGAUGACCAGCCACACUGGAACUGAGACACGGUCCAGACUCCUACGGGAGGCAGCAGUGGGGAAUAUUGCACAAUGGGCGCAAGCCUGAUGCAGCCAUGCCGCGUGUAUGAAGAAGGCCUUCGGGUUGUAAAGUACUUUCAGCGAGGAGGCGUUACUCGCAGAAGAAGCACCGGCUAACUCCGUGCCAGCAGCCGCGGUAAUAC
This 406-nucleotide ribosomal RNA is filed under the name uncultured bacterium. Its description in RNAcentral is "partial 16S ribosomal RNA". It matches the Rfam family "Bacterial small subunit ribosomal RNA", at positions 29 to 526 of the family's 1533-position model. The record is from RNAcentral.